GAGUUUGAUCCUGGCUCAGGAUGAACGCUAGCGGCAGGCCUAAUACAUGCAAGUCGAGCGGUAACAUUGGUGCUUGCACCAGAUGACGAGUGGCGCACGGGUGCGUAACGCGUAUGCAAUCUACCUUUUACUAGAGUAUAGCCCAGAGAAAUUUGGAUUAAUCCUCUAUAAUAUCUUUUAAUUUCAUGAUUUUAAGAUUAAAGUUUUAACGGUAAAAGAUGAGCAUGCGUCCUAUUAGUUUGUAGGUGAGGUAACGGCUCACCUAGACUACGAUAGGUAGGGGCCCUGAGAGGGGGAUCCCCCACACUGGUACUGAGACACGGACCAGACUCCUACGGGAGGCAGCAGUAAGGAAUAUUGGACAAUGGACGAAAGUCUGAUCCAGCCAUGCCGCGUGCAGGAUGAAAGCCCUACGGGUUGUAAACUGCUUUUAUACAGGAAGAAACACUCCGACGUGUCGGAGCUUGACGGUACUGUAAGAAUAAGGAUCGGCUAACUCCGUGCCAGCAGCCGCGGUAAUACGGAGGAUCCAAGCGUUAUCCGGAAUCAUUGGGUUUAAAGGGUCCGCAGCUGUUUUUUAAGUCAGAGGUGAAAUCCUACAGCUCAACUGUAGAACUGCCUUUGAUACUGAAAAACUUGAGUUAUUGUGAAGUGGUUAGAAUGUGUGGUGUAGCGGUGAAAUGCAUAGAUAUCACACAGAAUACCGAUUGCGAAGGCAGAUCACUAACAAUAUACUGACGCUCAUGGACGAAAGCGUGGGGAGCGAACAGGAUUAGAUACCCUGGUAGUCCACGCCGUAAACGAUGGAUACUAGCUGUUCGUCUAACAUUGGUUAGAUGAGUGGCUAAGCGAAAGUGAUAAGUAUCCCACCUGGGGAGUACGGUCGCAAGACUGAAAACUCAAAGGAAUUGACGGGGGCCCGCACAAGCGGUGGAGCAUGUGGUUUAAUUCGAUGAUACGCGAGGAACCUUACCAGGGCUUAAAUGUAGUGGG
Molecule: ribosomal RNA, 993 nt
Filed under: uncultured Bacteroidota bacterium
Lineage: Bacteria; Pseudomonadati; Bacteroidota
Description: bacterial SSU rRNA
Rfam family: Bacterial small subunit ribosomal RNA
Source: RNAcentral